GCGCGCGCAGGCGGUUUCUUAAGUCUGAUGUGAAAGCCCCCGGCUCAACCGGGGAGGGUCAUUGGAAACUGGGGAACUUGAGUGCAGAAGAGGAGAGUGGAAUUCCACGUGUAGCGGUGAAAUGCGUAGAGAUGUGGAGGAACACCAGUGGCGAAGGCGACUCUCUGGUCUGUAACUGACGCUGAGGCGCGAAAGCGUGGGGAGCGAACAGGAUUAGAUACCCUGGUAGUCCACGCCGUAAACGAUGAGUGCUAAGUGUUAGAGGGUUUCCGCCCUUUAGUGCUGCAGCAAACGCAUUAAGCACUCCGCCNGGGGAGUACGGUCGCAAGACUGAAACUCAAAGGAAUUGACGGGGGCCCGCACAAGCGGUGGAGCAUGUGGUUUAAUUCGAAGC
This 394-nucleotide ribosomal RNA is filed under the name Bacillus sp. (in: firmicutes). RNAcentral describes it as "bacterial SSU rRNA". It matches the Rfam family "Bacterial small subunit ribosomal RNA", at positions 565 to 957 of the family's 1533-position model. The record is from RNAcentral. Lineage: Bacteria; Bacillati; Bacillota; Bacilli; Caryophanales; Bacillaceae.